GGUUGUGGCUCAGUGGUAGAGCGCUCUCCUAGCAUGCGCGAGGACCUGGGUUUGAUCUCAGCACCA
Molecule: transfer RNA, 66 nt
Filed under: Marmota monax (woodchuck)
Lineage: Eukaryota; Metazoa; Chordata; Mammalia; Rodentia; Sciuridae
Description: tRNA.Ala
Source: RNAcentral